Transfer RNA from Pleurotus ostreatus PC15, 73 nucleotides. It matches the Rfam family "tRNA". Rfam says of the family: Transfer RNA (tRNA) molecules are approximately 80 nucleotides in length. Their secondary structure includes four short double-helical elements and three loops (D, anti-codon, and T loops). Further hydrogen bonds mediate the characteristic L-shaped molecular structure. tRNAs have two regions of fundamental functional importance: the anti-codon, which is responsible for specific mRNA codon recognition, and the 3' end, to which the tRNAs corresponding amino acid is attached (by aminoacyl-tRNA synthetases). tRNAs cope with the degeneracy of the genetic code in two manners: having more than one tRNA (with a specific anti-codon) for a particular amino acid; and 'wobble' base-pairing, i.e. permitting non-standard base-pairing at the 3rd anti-codon position. NCBI's taxonomy places the organism in Eukaryota, Fungi, Basidiomycota, Agaricomycetes, Agaricales, Pleurotaceae. The record is from Rfam.
GGCGUCUUAGCUCAGCUGGGAGAGCAACAGACUGAAGAUCUGGAGGUCCCGUGUUCAAUCCACGGAGAUGCCA